CCCUUAGAUGUUCUGGGCCGCACGCGUGCUACACUGACCGGCGCAACAAGCUUCUUCCCUUGGCCGACAGGCCUGGGUAAUCUUCGAACGCCGGUCGUGAUGGGGAUAGAUCCUUGCAAUUUUUGAUCUUCAACGAGGAAUUCCUAGUAAACGCGAGUCAUCAUCUCGCAUUGAUUACGUCCCUGCCCUUUGUACACACCGCCCGUCGCACCUACCGAUUGAAUGGUCCGGUGAAGCCUCCGGAUUGGCGCGCACCUCGGUGCCGCCGAGAAGUUGGCUAAACCUUACCAUUUAGAGGAAGGUGAAGUCGUAACA
This 315-nucleotide ribosomal RNA is filed under the name uncultured eukaryote. RNAcentral's name for it is "partial 18S ribosomal RNA". It matches the Rfam family "Eukaryotic small subunit ribosomal RNA", at positions 1470 to 1796 of the family's 1831-position model. The record is from RNAcentral.